Molecule: ribosomal RNA, 440 nt
Filed under: uncultured bacterium
Lineage: Bacteria
Description: partial 16S ribosomal RNA
Rfam family: Bacterial small subunit ribosomal RNA
Source: RNAcentral
CCUACGGGAGGCAGCAGUAGGGAAUAUUGCUCAAUGGGCGAAACCCUGAAGCAGCAACGCCGCGUGGAGGAUGAAGGUUUUCGGAUUGUAAACUCCUUUUGUUAGAGAAGAUAAUGACGGUAUCUAACGAAUAAGCACCGGCCAACUCCGUGCCAGCAGCCGCGGUAAUACGGCGGGUGCAAGCGUUACUCGGAAUCACUGGGCGUAAAGAGCGCGUAGGCGGGAUAGCAAGUCAGAUGUGAGAUCCUAUGGCUUAACCAUAGAGCUGCAGUUGAAACUGUUAUUCUUGAGUAUGGGAGAGGUAGGUGGAAUGCUUGGUGUAGGGGUAAAAUCCGUAGAGAUCAAGAGGAAUACUCAUUGCGAAGGCGACCUGCUAGAACAUAACUGACGCUGAUGCGCGAAAGCGUGGGGAGCAAACAGGAUUAGAUACCCGAGUAGUC